RNAcentral lists this non-coding RNA (82 nucleotides) under Oceanobacillus limi. RNAcentral describes it as "Ornithinibacillus sp. H9B(2010) c-di-GMP-I riboswitch aptamer". It matches the Rfam family "c-di-GMP-I riboswitch aptamer". From Rfam's summary of the family: GEMM was predicted in a large-scale screen for bacterial structured RNA regulatory elements. Genes associated with GEMM are involved in a diverse array of functions, including chemotaxis regulation, signal transduction, secretion and chitin. The record is from Rfam by way of RNAcentral. Lineage: Bacteria; Bacillati; Bacillota; Bacilli; Caryophanales; Bacillaceae.
CGAGUAAAAUGGCAAACUUGUUGAAAAGCAAGGACGCAAAGCUAUAGGGGCUAAUGUUAUACAAUGCCAGCCAGCUGCCUAU